This 282-nucleotide unclassified non-coding RNA is filed under the name rhizosphere metagenome. Its description in RNAcentral is "partial ribosomal RNA internal transcribed spacer region". The record is from RNAcentral.
GUAGGGUUCGUGAUCCUCCUCCUCCCCCUUACGUGCUUCAUUUUACUAACUUACAUCUAGUGAACCUGCGGAAGGAUCAUUAAAGAGUAAGGGUCUUCUAGGCCCGACCUCCAACCCCAUGAAUAUCUUACCACUGUUGCUUUGGCGGGCCCGUUGGGGAGACCCACUGCCGGCCUUGGCUGGUGAGAGCGCCCGUCAGAGACCCCCUAAAAUUCUGUUUAUUGGUGACGUCUGAGUACUAUACAAUAGUUAAAACUUUCAACAACGGAUCUCUUGGUUCUG